GAUGAACGCUGGCGGCGUGCCUAAUACAUUCAAGUCGAGCGAACGGACGAGAAGCUUGCUUCUCUGAUGUUAGCGGCGGACGGGUGAGUAACACGUUGAUAACCUACCUAUAAGACUGGGAUAACUUCGGGAAACCGGAGCUAAUACCGGAUAAUAUUUUGAACCGCAUGGUUCAAAAGUGAAAGACGGUCUUGCUUUCACUUAUAGAUGGAUCCGCGCUGCAUUAGCUAGUUGGUAAGGUAACGGCUUACCAAGGCAACGAUGCAUAGCCGACCUGAGAGGGUGAUCGGCAACACUGGAACUGAGAAACGGUCCAGACUCCUAAGGGAGGCAGCAGUAGGGAAUCUUCAGCAAUGGGCGAAAGACUGACGGAGCAACGCCGCGUGAGUGAGGAAGGUCUUCGGAUCGGAAAACUCUGUUAUUAGGGAAGAACAUAUGUGUAAGUAAAUGUGCACAUCUUGACGGUACCUAAUCAGAAAGCCACGGCUAACUACGUG
Molecule: ribosomal RNA, 497 nt
Filed under: uncultured bacterium
Lineage: Bacteria
Description: partial 16S ribosomal RNA
Rfam family: Bacterial small subunit ribosomal RNA
Source: RNAcentral